AAACACUUAGCUAUAAGCAACAGCAACAGUGCUCUUCAUGGAAACUAUUUUUCAGCAUGUGAAGUUACCCCAGACUCAGCACUGGUAGCAUACCUACUUUGGGAAACACAACUAAGGAUCAGGAAGGAGACAACCGGAAGUCCCCCUGGACCUCAUGCUUCGCUGAGAAAUGUCAGAGCCACUCUGCCGGGGGCUCGCAGAACCACGGUUCCCAUGUCCAUCUGAGCGCUCCGAGGCCCGAGUUCUCCCUUCCACCCCAUACGUUCUGGGGGUGUGGAUGGAUUUAUGACCCAGCAGAUUAGCGCAGCCACCAGGACGUAGCCAGGGCUUGCUCUGCCCAGCACUGCCAAGAGCAGGGCACUAACUGUGCCCUGACAUCCACAAACGAGACCCCGGGUUCAGUGGGGCAGAGACAUCCUGGAGCCGCGGUUCAGUCAGAUCCCAAGUUCUUACCCACUGAAGGUCUUACUCCCGGGUUUGUGGGUUAAAAAAGAGAGAAAAGGCUGUGGGCUGGACGUGAUGGGGACCUCCGGCUAGGAAGAGGGACACCCCUGAAAACGGGAUUUGACCCCACAGCUGCUUAGAGAUGAGGAUGCCCUGAGAAACACACUCACGAUCCCUGGAAAUGUCGACUCCACCAAUGAAACCAACUUCCUGUACCUCUUUGUAUUUCCAAAUGACCUCUUGAUUUCUUAACUGUCAAAGUAACGCAAGGGCAACUGUAAGGUAACCUCUGGGGAAGAAAUAUCACUCAGAAACCUCUGCCCACCCCAACACAUCAUUUUCAUCUUUCUGGAAUAUUUUCAUGUCACCUGAACUUUUACACAAUGGUCAUCUUAACAAAGAAGUCUGUAUGUUUUCCAACUUUUUCACAUAAACAUGUUCACUGCUGUUAAAAUGUCUCCACUAUGAACGUUUCAAAUGCAUAAAAUUCCUUUGAGAAAACGUACCAUAACAUUUAGAGAUUAGCUUAACUUUAGACAUUUAGGUUAUUUCCCGGCUUUCAUUAAAAGACGAGAAAGGGG
This is a long non-coding RNA of Felis catus (domestic cat), 1025 nucleotides long. RefSeq lists it as uncharacterized. The record is from RefSeq and is a predicted model, not a curated record. NCBI's taxonomy places the organism in Eukaryota, Metazoa, Chordata, Mammalia, Carnivora, Felidae. The transcript is spliced from 2 exons.